Molecule: long non-coding RNA, 1214 nt
Filed under: Cyanistes caeruleus (blue tit)
Lineage: Eukaryota; Metazoa; Chordata; Aves; Passeriformes; Paridae
Description: lncRNA (ENSCCEG00000018505.1)
Source: RNAcentral
GAUUUUUUUUAGUAGGUGAAUUGUGCUUGUGCCUUUGAUCAGAGAUGCUGCUUUUGUUAGGUGCUGCAAAGCAUAGGAUGUUUUAUUUUCAGGUGGAUGAAGAAGCAGGGGGUUUAUGCUGUGUGUCUGUGUUCAAUGGCACAGGUUGAAGGGGAAGGAAAAGCAGAUGAAAACCAUGGAGGCCUUAUUGGAAGAGAAGGAGAAAGAGAUUGUUAAGAAAGGAGAAUGUCUGCAGGGUCAGAAGGAUACAAUUGCACAAUUAACCAGUAAAGUUCAGGAGCUGGAACAACAGAACCUGCAACAACUCCAACAGGUACAGCCUGCAGAGUGGAUGUGGUUUGGGAGUGCUGCUUGGUUCAACAGGAAGCUGUUUUUUCUCCUCUACCUCACACAGAGGAUUUGCAUUGGCUUCAACUUGGAGAUGUUUUAAAUCCUACUUGUCUAAGCUGUUUGUAAUUCAGGGAACCCACUAGUUCAGCUGUGUUCAUUCAAAACAGGUUUUACAUGGAUAGCAAGUUCUGGGAGGUUUUAACUGGGAUGAUAUUGUCCAUAAAGAGGAGCUUUGCUGGUCUGAAAGCCUUGGAGCUCACAGACAGUCCCAGCUGUGUCCUAGCCACCUCCUUGCCAGGCUGAAGCAUCUCUGCAGGGCUCUGGUCAUGCAGGAACUUUGGCUGUAACUGAACAUAGCAGCAUCUUUUGAACUGGCCAGUCUGUGCUGUGAUUGCUUCCUGCCUUUGCCUGGGGCUGGAAUAUUUUGUGUUUGAUAUCCUGCAGUGGACUUGAGAGCAGACAACUGGACAACCUUGAAGCCAGGUGUUACUUAAUGGAAGAAUUUUUCCAAUAAGGUGGUAUUCUGGCUCAGUUUGGAUUUUUUGUUGAUGGUAAAAGGAGGAGACUUGAGUUGAACUUUUAUUUUGGGUGGAUGUCUAGACACAGGCAUUUAUCCCAGGGGAAAGAUGGAAUGGAGAGCAGUUGGCUGGUGUGAAGUUUGAGAUGCUUGGUGUAAGCUCUGUUUCUGAAAUCCAUUAUGUGUUUAGAUAUUCUUGGAGCAAUGCCUGAUGCAAAAUUCCUGGUAUUUCUUUGGCAAGUGUCUUGCAAGCUGUGUGUUGUCCCUUCUCGUGCAAAGAGCUGCUGUUAAUUUGAAAACCGUGCCAUCAAAAUGAAACCAGGAAUUGCUUUUUCAGGUACCUGCUACAACCCAAGUCCAGGACGUG